Molecule: unclassified non-coding RNA, 321 nt
Filed under: uncultured Agaricomycetes
Lineage: Eukaryota; Fungi; Basidiomycota; Agaricomycetes
Description: sequence contains 5.8S rRNA gene, ITS2, 28S rRNA gene
Rfam family: 5.8S ribosomal RNA (bases 1-52)
Source: RNAcentral
AACGCACCUUGCGCUCCUUGGUAUUCCGAGGAGCAUGCCUGUUUGAGUGUCGUGUAAUUCUCAAUCCCGUUUGGUUUUGAAUUGAACGUGGAUUGGACUUGGGAGCUUGCUGUGCCUGUCUCUUGGUUCGGCUCUCCUUGAAUGCAUUAGCUCGGUCACGUAGUUGCCCGACGGUUCACGGUGUGAUAGUCAUUUCAUCGCCGUUCUGACCGUUUCGGUGCCUGUGUCUGCCGGCUUCUAAUCCGUGUGUUGUCCUUUGUUGGAUAUAUGCACUCUUUGACAAUUGACCUCAAAUCAGGUAGGAUUACCCGCUGAACUUAA